Non-coding RNA from Triticum urartu, 126 nucleotides. The record is from Rfam. NCBI's taxonomy places the organism in Eukaryota, Viridiplantae, Streptophyta, Magnoliopsida, Poales, Poaceae.
GGACUACUCCCUCCGUCCGGAAUUACUUGUCGCAUAAAUGGAUAAAAAAUGGAUGUAUCUAGAACUAAAAUACGUCUAGAUACAUCCAUUUCUCCGACAAGUAUUUCCCGACGGAGGGAGUACAUC